UCCAGCAGCCAUAUCGCCCUGCAACUCACAACUGGCAACCCACUGAAGCUAAGCAGGUGUGAGCCUGGUCAGUACCUGGAUGGGAGACCUCCUGGGAAAAACUAAGGUUGCUGCUGGAC
This is a ribosomal RNA of Lepisosteus oculatus (spotted gar), 119 nucleotides long. The record is from Ensembl. NCBI's taxonomy places the organism in Eukaryota, Metazoa, Chordata, Actinopteri, Semionotiformes, Lepisosteidae.